CCUGGCGGCGAUAGCGCGGUGGUCCCACCUGACCCCAUGCCGAACUCAGAAGUGAAACGCCGUAGCGCCGAUGGUAGUGUGGGGUCUCCCCAUGCGAGAGUAGGGAACUGCCAG
RNAcentral lists this ribosomal RNA (114 nucleotides) under Hafnia alvei. Lineage: Bacteria; Pseudomonadati; Pseudomonadota; Gammaproteobacteria; Enterobacterales; Hafniaceae. RNAcentral also lists the same sequence under 2 other names. The record is from RNAcentral.